RNAcentral lists this ribosomal RNA (1161 nucleotides) under uncultured bacterium. RNAcentral's name for it is "bacterial SSU rRNA". It matches the Rfam family "Bacterial small subunit ribosomal RNA", at positions 108 to 1306 of the family's 1533-position model. The record is from RNAcentral.
GAGUAACACGUAGGUGACCUGCCUCGAAGCAGGGGAUAACGGCUCGAAAGGGCCGCUAGUACCCAAAAGGGUUGCGAGUCGCAUCGCAAUCAGAGUUACGGCGUUUCGAGAGGGGCCUGCGGCCCAUCAGCUAGUUGGUAGGGUAAUAGCCUACCAAGGCGACGACGGGUAGGGGGCCUGAGAGGGUGACCCCCCACACUGGCACUGAAACACGGGCCAAACUCCUACGGGAGGCAGCAGUGAGGAAUAUUGCGCAAUGAGCGAAAGCUAGACGCAGCAACGCCGCGUGGACGAUGAAGGCCUUCGGGUCGUAAAGUCCUUUUCAGGGGGACGAAGAGAGGACGGUACCUCUGGAAUAAGUCACGGCUAACUACGUGCCAGCAGCCGCGGUAAAACGUAGGUGGCAAGCGUUAUCCGGAUUCACUGGGCGUAAAGCGCUGCAGGCGGUCUUGUAAGUGGGGCGUGAAAUCUCCUGGCUCAACUGGGGAGGGUCGUUCCAUACUGCGAGGCUUGAGGGCAGAAGAGGGAAGUGGAAUUCCCGGUGUAGUGGUGAAAUGCGUAGAUAUCGGGAGGAACACCAGUGGCGAAGGCGACUUCCUGGUCUGCUCCUGACGCUAAGAGGGCGAAAGCUAGGGGAGCGAACGGGAUUAGAAACCCCGGUAGUCCUAGCCAUAAACGAUGGAUGCUAGGUGUAGGUGGUCCUAACCCCAUCUGUGCCGAAGCCAACGCGUUAAGCAUCCCGCCUGGGGACUACGGCCGCAAGGUUAAAACUCAAAGGAAUUGACGGGGGCCCGCACAAGCAGCGGAGCGUGUGGUUUAAUUCGAUGCUACACGAAGAACCUUACCCAGGUUUGACAUGCAGGUAGUAGUGAAGCGAAAGCAGAACGACCCUUCGGGGAGCCUGCACAGGUGCUGCAUGGCUGUCGUCAGCUCGUGCCGUGAGGUGUUGGGUUAAGUCCCCUAACGAGCGCAACCCUCGUCGUCAGUUAUAUGUGUCUGGCGAGACUGCCGGUCUAAAGCCGGAGGAAGGUGGGGAUGAUGUCAAGUCAGCAUGGCCUUUAUAUCUGGGGCUACACACACGCUACAAUGGCCGGUACAAUGGUCGCCAACCCGCGAGGGGGAGCCAAUCCUAAAAAGCCGUCUCAGUUCGGAUUGGAGGCU